This is a non-coding RNA of Paramuricea clavata, 377 nucleotides long. Lineage: Eukaryota; Metazoa; Cnidaria; Anthozoa; Malacalcyonacea; Plexauridae. The record is from the annotation of a GenBank genome assembly.
CAAGUAUCCUUAGUUAAGGUUUUCUUUUUAAGUAGUACUGGACCAAUCAGCAUUGAACUUUACUGGUACUCUAGGGAGAAUUAAAAACUAUCCAGUAUCAAUAAAGGUUUAAUUCAUUUAUAUAUAUUUUUUAUUCGGAAUGAACAACAAGGUUUAUCGAUUCCCUACUCAAUCGUAACUUUCUCUCCGUAUAGUCAAUUGAGUGGCAGUCAAAUGGCGUGGACACGGGGAAACCUAUGGAUAUCACUGAGGAAGAGGAACUUGAGAGGAUAACCGGGAUGUUACAGAGAGAUAACUUAGUACGUGGUGUAGGCAUUGUUGAAGAGGUUUAUAAAUUACUUCAUUGUACGCCUGGCACCGGUGGACCUAGAAAGGAC